GUGACCUCAGCACUCCCUGCGCAGCCCGUGCCACUGCAUCACCACUCUUUCUGAGAAUAAUUUUUACCUAAUAACCGACCUGCACCUCCCCUGACACAACUUGAGGCCGUUCCCUCUGGUCCUAAUGAUAAAGCCAGUUCUAUCGCCUGCUCCUCGAGCCGGUCAGGCUUCCAACCAGCCAGGACUCGGCAGGGUGUAGCAGCAGGUGCAAGGCCAUCUCCUGGCAGCAGCAGCGCGUUCUGGUGGGAGCAGCCCAACUUCCCAGCGAGCCAGGAGCCUGCAGCUGCCCGCACGUAAGCGCGGCACUUAGGAAACAGCUGCCGGGACAUAAGGUGGAAAUCUACCUGGCCCGAUGUUUGCUUUGGAAGCGAGCACCCGCGCUGGGAGAAAAAGAUAAAGCCAGCGCCUGGCCGGGGGCUGAAAGGAGAGGGGGGAGAGGCCGAUUACAAGAGCGGCUUUUGUUCUUGAGUCUCCCGGGGCCAAAGAAGCUCUCGGCCGGUGGCGGAGAAGCCCCGGGCUCGGAACGCGGCACCGCACCGCUACCGGGCCGGGCCUGGAGAACACCGACGGGAUGUCGCCCAGCACGGGGAUGGCUGCGGGCCGCGUGACGUCAGUGCGGCUUCUGCUCCGCGCCGCGAGAUAGAGGCAACAGGGCCGGGGGAAGGGAGAUCCUAAUCGUUCCCAGAUGGCUCUAAUAGCAGAUAUAAAGACUUACACAGCAUCCGAGAAUAAAUUUGUAAUCAACGCUCUACCAUCGGAUUAUCAAAGCGGCUACUUCGGGAGGGGAAAAUGAAGGUGGAGGGCUCUGGGAAAGAAGAGGCAGACACACACACGGCUACGGGGCGGGAUGGGGUGCGAGGCAGCGGGUAGCCCCGGCCCGGCCCCACGUCCUUUGGCUACAGUUAAUGGGAGCACGCAUAGUUCAGUUAUUGAGCUGAUCUGCCCCACUGGCAGAUGCACGUCCCACAGACGGGGAGCACACGGGGCAGCCUCGGGAGACAGCGGUCGGGAUUCGGCCUGCACCUCCGCCAAAGGAGCGGUGGGCUUUGGGUGCCGAGGAGAGGCCGGCCGGGAGCACUGCUGCUUCUUUACAACGUGGGGAAAAACCAAACCAAACCUCGUUUGGUCUAGAAGUGAGCGUUAAGCCGCGAGCAAAGCCGGGCUGGACCCACCCGGUUGCACCGCAUCACACGGAAAUACUGCAGAGUGGUUGGGCUGCCUACGGUCGGGUCCACAGCAGCAACUUGCCACGCACCUUCCACACAGCUGCCCCGAGGCCGCGGAUAACGCUCUUAUCAGUCCCUCCGCUUCACAGAGCGGGGCCGGGGCGCUGACAUCCCGGCUACCAUCAAUUCACCUUCUGCCACCCCGCUCCCCCAUUUAGCUUUUUGCCGGCUCCGGCCUGUCUAGGGCUCUCGUGGACUGUUCCUGAGAAAACGGUAACAUCCUCACUGCAGAGCAAUUAAAAGAGAUCCUUCUUAGCACGUCCACGGGGACUCCCAGGGCUGAAAAAUGAGCGUUUGAAGAGGAGAGAAUUACGGAUCGGUAAAUCCCGGAGAGGGCAGCUCCCGGCCUCAGCCCUGUACCCUGGAUAGAGACGAAGACUGACUGGGAGGGCAGAAAGGGGAUUGGGGCUGGGGGCAGCAGAACCCUCUGCUUUUUCAGCCCUGCCUCUAGCAGGCAGGGCAAAGUAUAGAAUGGGAAAAGUCUUCGCCGCAAGUGCUACAAACAAAGGCAAGUGGCUGUAAACACGGCCCGACGACGAAACGCACGGCCGGGCAGCCUGACCCGCCGGGAAGAGGGCACGGCCCUUUGGUCCCGUUGUCGUAACCCCGCAACCUCCCCAGCGCCGGUGCGGUACGCCCUGAUCUUGGCUCGGGCAAUCGCACCUCUACCUCCGCUCAUGGUCGGGGGCGGCGGGAGCCACUUCCUCGGGCGCGGACGGGCACACGGCCGAGGACCUGCAGAGAGAGCCAGCACGGGUUUAGUGGGAGCAACGAUACCAAGCCGAGGUUUAUCACGAAAGAGGCGGAGGGGGCUGAAAAAAAAGCUAUGUAAUUCGUGAAAGCUUUAAGAACCACUAAGUUAAUAACACUAAGCUCACCGCAGCAAAUUGUAAAUCCCCAUCCCACGCAAAGCUCCGGCCCUGAUCCCUCUUCUCUGCUCUGUACGGGAUUACCUGGGCCAGCGGGGCAUAGAGAAGAGCCAGAACCCCCCCGCGUCCCGCAGCCUCCGGCCCCGCCGUGGAGCCCCCGCCCGAUAAACGCUGCAGGCACAGGGUGGGGGGAACCGUCCGUCACCCCCUCCUCUCAAUCGGGCACUGGGUUAAAAACGAACCUCGGAGCCAUCUUUAUAAUUUAGUUUACUUCCGAAUAUUUUAAAUAUUAUGAAAAAAAGCCAUAAACAACGCUGUUAUUCAAAACAUUUUGAGGUAUAAAACAUAAAAAGAUUUGGGUUUCUUUCCCCACCCUCUCUCUCUUUUUUUUUUUUUUUUUUUUUUCUUUUGUAAAAAACACACACAGUGGUUUAUUGAGUACUUACAACGCUUACACCUUCAAUAUUAAUUAGAUUCCACUUUUUCCCUUAUGGACGGAAGUGCACAUAACCAAUAACUGCCGAAAAAACAUCUCAGAAUACCGAACAA
Coturnix japonica (Japanese quail) is the source of this 2644-nucleotide non-coding RNA. NCBI's taxonomy places the organism in Eukaryota, Metazoa, Chordata, Aves, Galliformes, Phasianidae. The record is from RefSeq and is a predicted model, not a curated record.